AUUGAACGCUGGCGGCAUGCUUUACACAUGCAAGUCGAACGGCAGCGCGGGCUUCGGCCUGGCGGCGAGUGGCGAACGGGUGAGUAAUACAUCGGAACGUGCCCAGUAGUGGGGGAUAGCGCGGCGAAAGCCGGAUUAAUACCGCAUAGGACCUGAGGGUGAAAGCGGGGGAUCUUCGGACCUCGCGCUAUUGGAGCGGCCGAUGGCAGAUUAGCUAGUUGGUGGGGUAAAGGCCUACCAAGGCGACGAUCUGUAGCUGGUCUGAGAGGACGACCAGCCACACUGGGACUGAGACACGGCCCAGACUCCUACGGGAGGCAGCAGUGGGGAAUUUUGGACAAUGGGCGAAAGCCUGAUCCAGCAAUGCCGCGUGUGUGAUGAAGGCCUUCGGGUUGUAAAGCACUUUUGGCGGGAACGAAAAGGACUGUGCCAAUACCACGGUUCGAUGACGGUACCCGCAGAAUAAGCACCGGCUAACUACGUG
This 484-nucleotide ribosomal RNA is filed under the name uncultured bacterium. RNAcentral's name for it is "partial 16S ribosomal RNA". It matches the Rfam family "Bacterial small subunit ribosomal RNA", at positions 29 to 507 of the family's 1533-position model. The record is from RNAcentral.